CUCUUAUCAAGAGAGGUGGAGGGAUGUGCCCUAUGAAACCCGGCAACCGUCAGCAUUCGGCUGAAAUGGUGCCAAUUCACACAAAGCGUUCGCUUUGAGAGAUAAGAG
This 108-nucleotide non-coding RNA is filed under the name Anoxybacillus sp. B7M1. RNAcentral describes it as "SAM riboswitch aptamer (S box leader)". It matches the Rfam family "SAM riboswitch aptamer (S box leader)". Rfam says of the family: The SAM riboswitch is found upstream of a number of genes which code for proteins involved in methionine or cysteine biosynthesis in Gram-positive bacteria. The SAM riboswitch acts at the level of transcription termination control. The predicted structure consists of a complex stem-loop region followed by a single stem loop terminator region. The record is from Rfam by way of RNAcentral. Lineage: Bacteria; Bacillati; Bacillota; Bacilli; Caryophanales; Anoxybacillaceae. RNAcentral also lists the same sequence under 1 other name.